AACGAACGCUGGCGGCGUGCCUAACACAUGCAAGUCGAGCGGGAAAGCGGGGGCAACCCCGCGAGUACAGCGGCGAACGGGUGAGUAACACGUAGGUAACCUACCCCUAGGACUGGGAUAACCUGCCGAAAGGCGGGCUAAUACUAGAUAAGACCACGAGGGCUUCGGCCCUUGAGGUAAAAGGUGGCCUCUGCUUGCAAGCUACCACCUAGGGAUGGGCCUGCGGGCCAUUAGCUAGUUGGUAGGGUAAUGGCCUACCAAGGCUACGAUGGCUAGCUGGUCUGAGAGGAUGGCCAGCCACACUGGGACUGAGACACGGCCCAGACUCCUACGGGAGGCAGCAUG
This 345-nucleotide ribosomal RNA is filed under the name uncultured bacterium. RNAcentral describes it as "bacterial SSU rRNA". It matches the Rfam family "Bacterial small subunit ribosomal RNA", at positions 29 to 355 of the family's 1533-position model. The record is from RNAcentral.